GUGGAUUCCUGUUGGAUAUCUUCAUAUUUGUCAGACAACAGCUUAAUUUCUUCUUCCAGCAACUGAAUUUCAUCUUCAUAAACUUGAUAAACGCUGUUGUCCAUUUCUCACACUCCAAGGUACUGAAAUCGUCAGCGGCUUCCAGCAAAGAGCUGCUUAUAUCAGCGGCACCAUCAGCUCAUGUAGCGGGCGGCGGGGGACGGCAGCCGUAAGCGCUGCAGAGCGAAGCUGCAGGCGUUACCGCCGGGAGCUCAGCUGCCCCUCACAGUGAUCGGCGGUCCGCGCCUUCGAAGUGCGCGCCCAGCCUGCGUUCCGGGCGGUACCACUGCCGCCACCCGAGCGGGGGACACCGCUCAGCGCUGCUGCCCUGAGGAACCAG
Molecule: long non-coding RNA, 379 nt
Filed under: Gallus gallus (chicken)
Lineage: Eukaryota; Metazoa; Chordata; Aves; Galliformes; Phasianidae
Source: RNAcentral